Oncorhynchus mykiss (rainbow trout) is the source of this 4377-nucleotide non-coding RNA. The record is from RefSeq and is a predicted model, not a curated record. Lineage: Eukaryota; Metazoa; Chordata; Actinopteri; Salmoniformes; Salmonidae.
GUAGAUGCGUUGUUGUGGGAAAUGUACUUCCGGGUUAUCGGGGUAUGGAUCGCAUUUUAAUGCAAACAAUUAUUAGAUACAGAUACCUGAUUACCAGACGCUUUCGCUUAAUUUAAACACAACAAACAUGGGGAAGAAGCAUAAAAAGCACAAGCCGGAGUGGAGAACAGUUGAUGACUGUGAGGACAAGCCUUUUGAGAAGCAGCUGAAGCUGGUGCUCAAAGUGGGAGGAAGUGAGAUCACAGAACUCUCAGGCUCCGGCCAUGACUCCAGUUACUACGACGACAGGUCAGACCAUGAACGAGAGCGCCACAAGGACAAAAAGAAGAAGAAGAAGAAAAAGUCUGAGAAGGAGAAAGACAAACACGUAGAUGAUGAGGAGAGGAGAAGACGGAAGGAAGAGAAGAGGAAGAAGAGAGAGCGGGAGCAGAAUGAAUCAGAGGCUGCUACUGCCUCUGCCAGUGGUGUGGGCCUGCCCACUGUUGUGCCCAGUCACACUGGUGUGGCAGUCGAGCCUUUCAUGCUGCCAAAGAUACCAAACAUUGGUAUUAGUUUUGAGCAGCAGGAGGAGAAGAAGAGGAAGAGGGAGAGGUCUGAGAUGGAGCCGGAGGUGAUGGACCAGUUUCACCCCAACAUCAAGGUAGAGGUGGAGCAACAAGGAGACCGGCCUGUCAGGGCUUGCAGGACAGCCCCGGAGAGUGAGUGCACCCCUCGACAGCAGCUCCUGGAACACUUCCUGCGCCAGCUUCAGAGGAAGGAUGCCCAUGGGUUCUUCACUUUCCCAGUGACAGACGCCAUCGCUCCAGGUUACUCUGUGAUAAUCAAACACCCCAUGGAUUUCAGCACCAUGAACGACAAGAUCACAGACAACGAGUACAAAACCGUCACAGAGUUCAAGGCGGACUUCAAGCUGAUGUGCGAUAAUGCCAUGGUGUAUAACCGUCCAGAGACCGUUUACUACAAGGCUGCCAAGAAACUGCUGCACACUGGCUUCAAGAUGAUGAGCAAAGAGCGGCUGUUAGCACUGAAGCGCAGCAUGUCUUUCAUGCAGGACAUGGAUUUCUCUCAGCAGGCGGCCAUUUUAGGGGACGAGGACUUGGUGUCUGAGGAGCCCCCUCCGGAGGUCAUCUCCAUGCCCGUGGAGUCGGCAUCGGCCAAGAAAUCCAAGAAACCCAAAGACAUCAAAGAUAUGAAGGAAGUCAUCAGCAGUUACCUGUAUGAGCCAGAGGGGAACGCCUGCAGCCUGACUGACAGCACAGCGGAGGAACACGUUCUGGCCCUGGUGGAGCACGCUGCAGAUGAAGCACACGACCGCAUCAACCGAUACAUGCCCAACUCCAAGAUGGGUUACCUGAGGAAAGAGCCUGAUGGUAAUCUGUUGUACACUGUAGUGAAUCAGCUGAAUCCAGAAGCAAAAGAGGAGGAGACCCACCCUGUGGACCUGAGCUCUCUGUCCAAUAAGCUCCUUCCUGGAUUAACAACACUGGGUUUCAAAGAUGACAGGAGACACAAGGUGACGUUCCUGAGCAGUACCUACAACACCCAGACCCUGCAGAACAACUCCAUCUACCCGGACCUGCUGCCUGAUGAGAUGGACCUGCUCUACUCAGCCUACGGGGAUGAGACUGGGGUGCAGUGUGCUCUCAGUAUUCAGGAGUUUGUUAAAGGUUGUGGGAACGUUACUAAGCGUUUGGUUGACGGGCUGCUGGAUAAGAUGACUGCAGGGGACCACUCUAAGGCUGUCUACCAGAUCAGACAGAAAAGAAACAUGGCGUUACCAGACGAAACCAAGAGCAACAUUUACGAUAUGCAGAUGGCUGAUGGGACAGGUCUGGGAGAGGGCAGCUCAGUGCUGGACUUCAUGUCCAUGAAGAGCUACUCUGACAUGUCUCUGGAGAUGUCCAUGCUCAACUCUUUAGGGAAGUCGGUGAAGAAGGAGCCGGGGCAUGAAGACGGGGUCAGUCAGCAGCACUUUGAGGAGGCAGCCAAGCUGCUGCAGGAGUUCCAGGAGGGCCAGGUGGAGAGGGGAGGCUCCAGACCCUCCUCUAACCUCUCCUCCCUGUCAGGGACCUCCGACAGGGACCAGCACCACCUGGGGAGUCCCUCACACCUGGGUGUUGGUGACCAGUCUGAGAUGGUUCAUGACCCCUAUGAGUUCCUCCAGUCUCCAGAGCCAGGCUCCACAUCCAACAGCUGACCUAUGAGUUCCUCCAGUCCCCAGAGCCAGGCUCCACAUCCAACAGCUGACCUAUGAGUUCCUCCAGUCUCCAGAGCCUGGCUCCACAUCCAACAGCUGACCUAUGAGUUCCUCCAGUCCCCAGAGCCAGGCUCCACAUCCAACAGCUGACCUAUGAGUUCCUCCAGUCUCCAGAGCCAGGCUCCACAUCCAACAGCUGACCUAUGAGUUCCUCCAGUCCCCAGAGCCAGGCUCCACAUCCAACAGCUGACCUAUGAGUUCCUCCAGUCCCCAGAGCCAGGCUCCACAUCCAACAGCUGACCUAUGAGUUCCUCCACUCUCCAGAGCCAGGCUCCACAUCCAACAGCUGACCUAUGAGUUCCUCCAGUCUCCAGAGCCAGGCUCCACAUCCAACAGCUGACCUAUGAGUUCCUCCAGUCUCCAGAGCCAGGCUCCACAUCCAACAGCUGACCUAUGAGUUCCUCCAGUCUCCAGAGCCAGGCUCCACAUCCAACAGCUGACCUAUGAGUUCCUCCAGUCUCCAGAGCCAGGCUCCACAUCCAACAGCUGACCUAUGAGUUCCUCCAGUCUCCAGAGCCAGGCUCCACAUCCAACAGCUGACCUAUGAGUUCCUCCAGUCUCCAGAGCCAGGCUCCACAUCCAACAGCUGACCUAUGAGUUCCUCCAGUCUCCAGAGCCAGGCUCCACAUCCAACAGCUGACCUAUGAGUUCCUCCAGUCUCCAGAGCCAGGCUCCACAUCCAACAGCUGACCUAUGAGUUCCUCCAGUCUCCAGAGCCAGGCUCCACAUCCAACAGCUGACCUAUGAGUUCCUCCAGUCUCCAGACCCAGGCUCCACAUCCAACAGCUGACCUAUGAGUUCCUCCAGUCUCCAGAGCCAGGCUCCACAUCCAACAGCUGACCUAUGAGUUCCUCCAGUCUCCAAAGCCAGGCUCCACAUCCAACAGCUGACCUAUGAGUUCCUCCAGUCUCCAGAGCCAGGCUCCACAUCCAACAGCUGACCUAUGAGUUCCUCCAGUCUCCAGAGCCAGGCUCCACAUCCAACAGCUGACCUAUGAGUUCCUCCAGUCUCCAGAGCCAGGCUCCACAUCCAACAGCUGACCUAUGAGUUCCUCCAGUCUCCAGAGCCAGGCUCCACAUCCAACAGCUGACCUAUGAGUUCCUCCAGUCCCCAGAGCCAGGCUCCACAUCCAACAGCUGACCUAUGAGUUCCUCCAGUCCCCAGAGCCAGGCUCCACAUUCAACAGCUAACCCACACACUGACAAGUUGCCUCUAACUGGGGUAGCUCUGGUCACAAUACCAGUAUCACUAUACUAUGAUACUCAACUUUCCAAGGCAAAAAAGGAAACAAAAGUGUUUUAACUCUUUAAAAACAUGCUUUAUCUAAAAUAUUGUUUUCUGUAGCUUGAAAAACAAACAAAUGUGUCUCUGGUGUAUCCAACAUUAAGACUUCUGAGUAUUGCGAUACUGUUAUUGAGAAACUACUAGGGAGAUGGUAGAAGAUGCCUCUAACUACUGGUCUGGGGUCAGACAUUGUUUGAUGGGUAAUCUGAUCCUAGAUCUGUGGUUCAGAGGAAACUUCUACUCAGAGCUGAUCUGACGUCCGGUAUUUAACCACACUGGUUGUUUUGUUGUCUGACUCUGUGCUCUCAACACACCGGGGACAACGAGAGAGAACCUCAGACAUGUUGUGGAAGGUCAUCAUGAUUGUACAGAUUAUUUGUAUGUGUGCUAUACUUAAGAGAAUAAAGUCGCCACAGGUUGUGUUUUUACACAGUACUGUGUCAUCAGGUUGUGUUUUUACACAGUACUGUGUCAUCAGGUUGUGUUUUUACACAGUACUGUGUCAUCAGGUUGUGUUUUUACACAGUAGUGUCAUCAGGUUGUGUUUUUACACAGUACUGUGUCAUCAGGUUGUGUUUUUACACAGUACUGUGUCAUCAGGUUGUGUUUUUACACAGUACUGUGUCAUCAGGUUGUGUUUUUACACAGUACUGUGUCAUCAGGUUGUGUUUUUACACAGUACUGUGUCAUCAGGUUGUGUUUUUACACAGUACUGUGUCAUCAGGUUGUGUUUUUACACAGUACUGUGUCAUCAGGUUGUGUUUUUACACAGUACUGUGUCAUCAGGUUGUGUUUUUACACAGUACUGUGUCAUCAGGUUGUGUUUUUACACAGUA